This 492-nucleotide ribosomal RNA is filed under the name Hyotissa mcgintyi. RNAcentral's name for it is "partial 16S ribosomal RNA". It matches the Rfam family "Bacterial large subunit ribosomal RNA", at positions 1829 to 2597 of the family's 2925-position model. The record is from RNAcentral. Lineage: Eukaryota; Metazoa; Mollusca; Bivalvia; Ostreida; Gryphaeidae.
CGCCGUUCGGAUUUUACGUCCGGUAGUACCUGUCCAGUGCGUAGUAUGCGUAAACGGCGGCUGUAAUCUGACGGUCUGAAGGUAGCGAAAUUCCUAGCCCUUUAAUUGAGGGCCUGCAUGAAGGUUUGACGAGGGCCCCACUGUCUCUUCUUUUAAGAGGUUGAAAUUUAGUUGGAGGUGCAGACGCCUUCUUUAUUAAGUUAGACAAAAAGACCCCGUGCAAUUUAAAAGAUGGGUAGAGGUGUUUGAAUCCCCCUGAUUUUUAGGUGGGGCGCCUGGGAAGUAAACAAAACCUUCUCUUAUAGAGGCAACACGACAUGUGAUGAUCCAGAAUGUCUGAUAACAGGAGAAAUUACGCCGGGGAUAACAGAGUAAUCCCGCAGUAGAGUUCGUAUUGGCUGCGGGGAUUGCCACCUCGAUGUUGAAUUAGGGACAAUAUCUCUAAAGGUUGCAGAAGCUGAUGAAGUGGGUCUGUUCGACCUUUGAAACCCU